CGGUGACAAACNGGAGGAAGGUGGGGAUGACGUCAAGUCNUCAUGGCCCUUAUGGGUAGGGCUUCACACGUCAUACAAUGGUGCAUACAGAGGGUUGCCAANCCGCGAGGUGGAGCUAAUCCCAGAAAAUNCAUCGUAGUCCGGAUCGUAGUCUGCAACUCGACUACGUGAAGCUGGAAUCGCUAGUAAUCGCGGAUCNNCAUGCCGCGGUGAAUACGUUCCCGGGUCUUGNNCAC
Molecule: ribosomal RNA, 236 nt
Filed under: bacterium enrichment culture
Lineage: Bacteria
Description: partial 16S ribosomal RNA
Rfam family: Bacterial small subunit ribosomal RNA
Source: RNAcentral